This 116-nucleotide ribosomal RNA is filed under the name Ochotona princeps (American pika). Lineage: Eukaryota; Metazoa; Chordata; Mammalia; Lagomorpha; Ochotonidae. The record is from RNAcentral.
GUCUACGGCCAUACCACCCUGAACGCGCCCGAUCUCGUCUGAUCUCGGAAGAUACUCAAUAAAUAUGUGUUAAGAUUAAUUGAUAAAUUAUAGGGGGAAAAAUAAAAUGCUAAACG